Long non-coding RNA from Lactuca sativa (garden lettuce), 1672 nucleotides. RefSeq lists it as uncharacterized. NCBI's taxonomy places the organism in Eukaryota, Viridiplantae, Streptophyta, Magnoliopsida, Asterales, Asteraceae. The record is from RefSeq and is a predicted model, not a curated record.
UACUUGGAUAAUUGAAAUUAAAAGUUCCUUUAAAGCACUAUGCUAGAAUUAAAUUAUGAUAGGUCUAGUCUUAAACCCAUACUGACGACAUGUUGAAAUACUUUGGGUGCUAGACUUUUCAUCAUCGAAUCCGCUAGCAUAAUAUUAGUACUGAUGUGCACGAUACAAAUAUAAUUUUCCUCCACUUGCUCUAAAAAAACAAGUAUUUUGUAUCGAGAUAAAUUCCCACUCUGCUUUAGCUAUUUCGAGUGAAAUUUUUUAUAAAGGCAAAGUUAUAGGAAUUUACCUCUUUUAACAUAAUAGAACUGGAAUUUACAAUAAUGAGCCUUGUGAUUAAAUUUCUCAACAAGAUUCGAUGGCAAGUUGCAUUAUAUAUGACAACAUAUUUUGCCAUCAUAGUGGAUAUAGUCAUCAAUUUUACUUAUGACUCUUCCAUGAUAUUCGCUGGCUAAUAACAUAAAGAUGUAUCCCAAUAAUGACUAUUCAUCUUUGUAUUUUGCAAAGUAGAGUAAAAAAACAUAUCAUUUCCAAGUUGUAACUUCUUUUAUAAACAAGUUUGUAAUUAUCAGUCUCAUCACAAAACUUUCUUGGCAACAUUUCAAGGAUCAAUACCAUGAUUUGAUUGAUGACGGCUCAUCAGGCCAAUAAUAUAAGCGAUUUCGGGACGAAUAUAAACUUUGGCAAACAUAAACUUCUAAUUACUUAAGCAUAAGAUAUUAAUUUCAUUUGAUCUUGUUGUACCUUUAUUUUUAGCAUGGUUGUAUAAAUCGGCCUAGGGGGACGAUUAAUCGGUGCCUAGAUGCUUAGUGGUCUCCAUCCGCCUACGAAUAAGGGUUAGAGGGUAAAAUAAUUGGCCUUAGUCAAUAUCGGUCAAAAUCGGUACAACUCGGUCCAAAUCGGACUAAAUCGGUCCAACUCGGACUCAAAAUUGGGCCAAAUCGGUCCAGCUAACCAGGCUCGAAAGAACCAGCUAGCACACCGAGUAGUUGGGUUUGAAUUUUUAAAGGAACCUAAGUCUCCUUUUAUAAGAUAUGGGUGCCUUUGUUUAUUUUCCCACCAGCGAUGUGGGAUGACAAACUUGUAACAAUUCUAUACAUAUUUGCACAUGAUGGUCUAUUGGUUCACAACUCCACCGAUUCAAUUCAAACUCAUUGUGAUGUCGUUUUCUGCUAGAUCGAACGCGGAAAUUGGUAAAGUCGACUCUCUCACGACUUAAGGACAAAAGAAGUAAAACAUCAAAAAGUUGAAUCUUCUUCCUCCGUUCACGCUAUCGCCUUUUGCUCUAGUUUAUCAUCCUCCUCCAACCUUGUUGUUGCAUUGUCGACUCAAAGUUGUUGCCCUUCUCCUCCGAUGUCAUCCAUGACUCUGAAAGCCCUUUGACCCAGUCCUUAUCAUCUAUGAAGUUCUUUACUAUUGCUGCUCAUUCAUCAAAAUCUUCAAAGUCAAAGAAAAAAAGGAUUCAAAGCAAAAAGGAAUAGAGAAACAAAUCUUGAAAUGAAUCAGCCGAAGAAACCAAGAGGGAGACCAAGAAAGAAAGCUUCUAAUAAUGUUCUUGCUCCCUUAACAUUCACAAUGUAGUAGUUGGUUAUUUAGAUGUGAUGUAUUAAGAAUCAAAGGAUUUUUUUGUAAUCAUAGUUUCAUGUUACUAAUGUUAUAUUUAUUAAAUUUUUAA